AGGAGUGGGACGAAUAUACCGGCUAGGAGUCAGCCGGGUUAGCCGGCUGAAGUCCCAGCCCGCGGAGGUCCCAGCCCGCACCCGUCCAUGAAGACAAACCAGACACGGAAGCCGACAUAUGUGGACGGGACGGACGGUGUUCCAGCGGGCAUAUGUGGACGGGACGAACGGUGACAAGAAAAGACACGGACGGCGACAUAUAUGGCCGGGACGGACGGUGAUCGAGCGGGCUUGGGGACACAGCGGGCUAGGGGACGAAUAUACCUGCAAGGAGACAGCCGGUGAGGUCCUAGCCCGCGCCCGUCCACGAAGACAAACAAGACACGGACGGCGACAUAUAUGGCCGGGACGGACAGUGAUCCAGCGGGCUUGGGGACGAAUAUACCGGCUAGGAGUCAGCCGGUGAGGUCCCCGCCCGCGCCCGUCCACGAAGUCAGAAAAGACACGGACGGCGACAUAUAUGGCCGGGACGGACGGUGAUACAGCGGGCUUCAGCGGGCUAGGGGACGAAUAUACCGGCAAGGAGACAGCCGGUGCGGUCCCUGCCCGCGCCCGUCCACGAAGACACACAGGACACGGAAGGCGACAUCUGUGGACGGGACGAACGGUGACACAGCGGGCUAGGGGACGAAUAUACCGGCAAGGAGACAGCCGGUGAAGUGAAAAGACACGGACGGCGACAGGGGACGAAUAUACCGGCUAGGAGUCAGCCGGUGAGGUCCCCGCCCGCGCCCGUCCACGAAGUCAGAAAAGACACGGACGGCGACAUAUAUGGCCGGGACGGACGGUGAUCGAGCGGGCUUGGGGACAAAUAUACCGGCUAGGAGUCAGCCGGUGAGGUCCCCGCCCGCGCCCGUCCACGAAGUCAGAAAAGACACGGACGGCGACA
Molecule: long non-coding RNA, 889 nt
Filed under: Androctonus crassicauda
Lineage: Eukaryota; Metazoa; Arthropoda; Arachnida; Scorpiones; Buthidae
Source: RNAcentral